Long non-coding RNA from Drosophila simulans, 1450 nucleotides. RefSeq lists it as uncharacterized. The transcript has 2 exons. Lineage: Eukaryota; Metazoa; Arthropoda; Insecta; Diptera; Drosophilidae. The record is from RefSeq and is a predicted model, not a curated record.
CCACACACACACACGCGCGGACGGAAAUGAAAGGAAUGUGAAUUCUAGGAUAUAAUCUACGCACCAUUCUGCUCGUUUUCCGUGCAUUUCUUAUCGGGCAUUAUUCACAAAGCAAAUCCCGUGAUGAAGGUUCUGCGACAGCUGUUUUGCGCCAGGUUAGGUGAAAAGUGCACUGUUUCAGCGACAAUGGGAGAUUGGGAUUAGCAGCCGCAGAGCGCCGCAUCUGGCGAAAUUGAGCGAGCGAAUGAAACUGAGCGCCGUACAACAUGGCGUAUGCGUCUAUUACACAUACGCACCGGGUGCCCACACACACUCACACCCAUAUUUCAGGAGAGAGCACAAGAGAGCGCCAAGGAUGGGAUGAUGCGCAUUUCAGUUGAUGCCACAAGGAAAAGCUUUUGGGACGCGCUUUUCCUCUCUUUUUCGGAAUCAGCUGUUUUCGAUAGGCAAUUUCCAUAGCCUUUUUAAUACGUCAUAUUGCAAUUUUAGAUAUGUAAAACGUCACACAGAGCGAAAAUUUCAAUGAUAGGUAUUGAUUUUUUUAUAAAAUAAUCACAGACCUCAUUUUCUAUUUCUAAAGUAAGACAAAAUUGGGGUUUUGUGUCAUUACAUUUGCACAACUCAAUAAUUUCUUAAGAACUCAGGUAUACAAUAAAUUGUUUCAAAUAUAUUUUAAUGGUUAAUAAAUUUCCAAGGCCCCAUAAAACUGUCAAUAUAUUUUCCUAUUCAUAAUAACAUAAAAAAAAACCUAAAAUAUCUGAGACAAUAAUAAACAUUUAAUGCUGAGUUUCCCACUUUUAAAUACCUAUAUGUAUGCGACUCUUUUUGUGCACAUACUUAUAAAUUUUUUUGUCUGUGUAUCUGUGCUGUAUGCCGCUUUCAAUUGGCUCUGGAUAAUUGUUGCUCUGCAAAUAUCUCUGCUAUGUACAUUGUACAUAAUAGCAGAAAUGUUUUGUUUUCUAGAUCUCGAGUCCCGAGGUACAGUUCUUGCUUUUUUAUUUUACGGGGGCUCGACUUUGCUUUUGUUGCCCCCGAGAUGUUUUCUUGUUGUUUGUGCAACUGUACCUGGGAUGCUGAACAAACGAACGCGGCAGAAAAACACUGCGAUUUGUUAAAUUGUUAUUUUCGUGCCCAUGGCUAAAUAUAAAUGAACUAAUGCCAAAUGCUGACGUACUCUUCUCCGUGUUUUAUCCCUAAAAACUGACGCAAAUGGCAUUGCAAGUACAUGAUUUAUGGAGCCGGGGAUCGCGGGUUGAUGGGGCAAAAACCACGUGCCGAAUGCGACGCACGUUUUGCGUCGAGAGAAAAACAAAGGCACACACACUUCAAAAUAGAAUAGUGCAACAUACUGGACUUACUUAAAACAUGUGAGGUAGCAAAGUGUCGCAAUUACUUUAAAACUACAAACUAUUAAUCACUGAACGAUGCGGUUUGGACACGUUUGUAGAAA